UGGGCAACCUGCCCUCAGCUCUGGGACAACUCCGGGAAACCGGGGCUAAUACCGGAUAUGACCAUUCCUGGCAUCUGGGGUGGUGGAAAGUUUUUCGGCUGAGGAUGGGCUCGCGGCCUAUCAGCUUGUUGGUGGGGUUACGGCCCACCAAGGCGACGACGGGUAGCCGGCCUGAGAGGGUGACCGGCCACACUGGGACUGAGACACGGCCCAGACUCCUACGGGAGGCA
This 230-nucleotide ribosomal RNA is filed under the name uncultured bacterium. Its description in RNAcentral is "partial 16S ribosomal RNA". It matches the Rfam family "Bacterial small subunit ribosomal RNA", at positions 118 to 350 of the family's 1533-position model. The record is from RNAcentral.